RNAcentral lists this microRNA (22 nucleotides) under Ananas comosus (pineapple). RNAcentral's name for it is "microRNA s1351_c045b". Lineage: Eukaryota; Viridiplantae; Streptophyta; Magnoliopsida; Poales; Bromeliaceae. The record is from RNAcentral.
AAAUUUCCAAACUUGCUUUUGA